UACGUAGGUCCCGAGCGUUGUCCGGAUUUAUUGGGCGUAAAGCGAGCGCAGGUGGUUUAUUAAGUCUGGUGUAAAAGGCAGUGGCUCAACCAUUGUAUGCAUUGGAAACUGGUAGACUUGAGUGCAGGAGAGGAGAGUGGAAUUCCAUGUGUAGCGGUGAAAUGCGUAGAUAUAUGGAGGAACACCGGUGGCGAAAGCGGCUCUCUGGCCUGUAACUGACACCGAGGCUCGAAAGCGUGGGGAGCAAACAGG
This 252-nucleotide ribosomal RNA is filed under the name uncultured bacterium. Its description in RNAcentral is "partial 16S ribosomal RNA". It matches the Rfam family "Bacterial small subunit ribosomal RNA", at positions 524 to 776 of the family's 1533-position model. The record is from RNAcentral.